This 252-nucleotide ribosomal RNA is filed under the name uncultured bacterium. RNAcentral's name for it is "partial 16S ribosomal RNA". It matches the Rfam family "Bacterial small subunit ribosomal RNA", at positions 524 to 776 of the family's 1533-position model. The record is from RNAcentral.
UACGUAGGGUGCGAGCGUUGUCCGGAAUUAUUGGGCGUAAAGAGCUCGUAGGCGGCUUGUCGCGUCGGAUGUGAAAGCCCGGGGCUUAACUCCGGGUCUGCAUUCGAUACGGGCAGGCUAGAGUGUGGUAGAGGAGAUCGAAUUCCUGGUGUAGCGGUGAAAUGCGCAGAUAUCAGGAGGAACACCGGUGGCGAAGGCGGAUCUCUGGGCCAUUACUGACGCUGAGGAGCGAAAGCGUGGGGAGCGAACAGG